AUACGGAGGGUGCAAGCGUUAUUCGGAAUCACUGGGCGUAAAGGACGCGUAGGCGGGUUGGCAAGUCAGAUGUGAAAUCCUACAGCUUAACUGUAGAACUGCAUUUGAAACUGCUAACCUAGAGUAUGGGAGGGGGAGAUGGAAUUAGUGGUGUAGGGGUAAAGUCCGUAGAUAUCACUAGGAAUACCGAAAGCGAAGGCGAUCUCCUGGAACAUAACUGACGCUAAGGCGUGAAAGCGUGGGGAGCAAACAGGAUUAGAUACCCUAGUAGUCC
Molecule: ribosomal RNA, 274 nt
Filed under: uncultured bacterium
Lineage: Bacteria
Description: partial 16S ribosomal RNA
Rfam family: Bacterial small subunit ribosomal RNA
Source: RNAcentral